GGGAGUCCUUGGUAGUUACUGACAUCUCAAAGGACUGCAGGGUUUGGUUUUCAAGUGGAAUCCCAUUUCGGUACCUAAGAACGGACUCCAUGGGGUGACAUUCAAAACUGCGGUGAUGUGCCUUCUGCUGAAAGUGCAAAAUAAAUGCAAUACAUUGAAGAGACAGAGCAGGAGACAGAUGCAAAUCUGUGGAACACGGAAUGAUGGAACAGAAUGAAGGUAACAGCAAACAAGAGGAUGACCAACAACUUUUAUAAAAAAAAAGUCUCUGAAUUUUAUUACAGUGAUGGCAUUUUAUAUCAAUUAUUGCAAUGAAUUGUUCCCUAAGAUGGUUAGAAAAAAGAAUUGUGUUGUCCUCUACCGAAUUUACAUCAGUUAAAAAGCAAGCAUGUUUCAAUAUUCCUCUUUUUUCAAAGAAAAUGUAAAUAAUUUCUUUAUUUUUUUUCACAGGAUUUACAUAUUUAUUAUUUUCUUAUCACAGUUUAGUGACUCAUUUCUACAGCUGAACAGCUGAAUAUUCUUCCAUUGUAUAUAUUGAUGUUCUGGAGACACAGUUCCAGAAUGCACGGCCUUCGGGCAGUCGGGAGUCAAUACGCGGCCAUUUUCACCCACACUCCCCGUGAUGGAUAAUCUGGCUUUGUUUCUUAUGGCUUCAGAAAAGCUCUGCGACUUUCUGGCCAUUGACAACAUGCUCAAGACAGAAGAACAGUAAAAACGGAUCUACCAAAAAAAAAAAAAAGGCAAAUGAGAAAAACAAUUUCUCAGCAGCCUUCCAUGGAACAACAGAAAAAGCUGCAGUAAGGCAACUCCUCUCUUCUCAUGGCACAAAGUAACAACAAUUCAGCAGCACACUGCAAGAAACAACUGAGACAGUCGACAAAGCCAGCAGGAGCAGGUCAAACUUGUACUCAGUAAGGUGCCAUAAAGCAAACUAACCAGAUAUGGAUCUGUGUUUAAUUUCAAACUAAGCUGUGGAUAAUGAGCCAGGCUAAUACUGUGCUUGAUUGUGCCGUUACAAUUUCAGAUUUAUGGCCUGGCUUUAAAAACGGUUUCAGGAGAGACUGGGAUAAGAAGGAAAACUCUUGGUAUUUGCUGUGAAUGUUACCCAAGUUAUGGAAGUCUGUGCAGUAAGUGUACGCAGUUAGUAGUGUUAGUUUUCACACUCAGCAGUAGUUAGUUUUCAUAUUAACGUCAUUAGUUUUGAUUAAACUGGUUGUUAAUCAUGUGAAUAUUGACUGUCCUGCUCCUAGUGGGAAAUGGGAAUUCAGGAAGCUGAUCUCCUCAGUCUAUGUAAUGCAAGUACCCAGUUGCUGGGUUCCUUUGUUGUUUAGACAUCUCUAGUGCCUGGGUCACCUGGGAAUGUCUUUGGCACAGAUACUGAAGAUGAACUUUCAAAUACUUUUUCUAUAUGGAAUAUGAAAUUGGAAGUAUAUGAGUCAAGAUAAGUAUAUUAAAGAUUUGCUGAGCCAUCCUUUAGAAUUUGGCCUUGUUAGCCACUCAUUUUGUAAUUUCAUAUAAUUAUAUAUAUGUAUGUAUAUUUGUAAAUUUUGUUGUUAAUUUUGUCAGUUAUAACCAGCACAAGGUGGGAGAGCAAGUGAAGGCAGUGGAGCUGGGAGCUGGCUGGUGAGUCUCAUGGCCCACUGAGGACCAUGGCCAUGGUGGUAGCUGGGAAGGUGCCCCUGGGACAACCCCUUCAUCACUCAUGGGUGUGAUGGGAGGAACCCAGUAGUGGUUUUCUCUAGAGCAGCUGAAAAGAAGGGUGUUUGCUCCGCAUUGCUUCCAGGCUAUCAGA
This is a long non-coding RNA of Numida meleagris (helmeted guineafowl), 1792 nucleotides long. RefSeq lists it as uncharacterized. NCBI's taxonomy places the organism in Eukaryota, Metazoa, Chordata, Aves, Galliformes, Numididae. The transcript has 4 exons. The record is from RefSeq and is a predicted model, not a curated record.